GGAUGUGAGGGUGAUCUGGCUGCGACAUCUGUCACUCCAUUGAUCGCCAGGGUUGAUUCGGCUGAUCUGGCUGGCUAGGCAGGUGUCCCUGUCCUCCCUCACUGCUCCAUGUGCGUCCCUCCCGAAGCUUCGCGCUCCAUCGAAGAGGUCGACCUUCCCCGAAUAGAGACGGACCCAUCUUCGGUCAAGGGUAUACGAGUAGCUGCGCUGCCCUGCUAGAACCUCCAAACAAGCUCUCACGAAUGUAAAAGAAUAGCAUAGGUUGGGGCUUCAGUCAUUAAUAAGGGUUUCACAGAAAAGAUUUUUUUUUUUCUUU
Erinaceus europaeus (western European hedgehog) is the source of this 316-nucleotide unclassified non-coding RNA. Its record names the gene 7SK. It matches the Rfam family "7SK RNA". From Rfam's summary of the family: 7SK was discovered as an abundant small nuclear RNA in the mid-70s but a possible function has only recently been suggested. The record is from Ensembl. Lineage: Eukaryota; Metazoa; Chordata; Mammalia; Eulipotyphla; Erinaceidae.